AAUCGGCCGAGAUAAAAUGAGAAAAACAAGGUGAGGAUGGGUUUAGUCAAGCCUGUUCCCAAUCCGCUAGCGAUCCAGCAUAAAAAAAACCUAACCCGGGGUACGGAUUGGUUCGUGGCAUCGUAGAACUGUUGUUUUUGUGGUCUCCCUCCAUCCUCUUCAUUUUUCGGGGAAUUGGGUAGCUAAAAAUCCCGCAACAGCAGCGAGAGGAAUGUGGAAGCAAAAGAAAAGAAAAGAGAGAAAAGAAACUAGAUUUAUCACCUAUUCUUUGUGGUCAUCCAGAUUGCCGCAACCAAUGACACAGCUGUUCGACGGGAAAAAGGACUCAGCGACAGGGCCGUUGCAAUCCUGAGUCCGUCCGAAACUGCUGAAUGCGGGAGAUCAUCUCAAUUGAUGUUGUUUCGCAUUUCAAACAAAAGUAGAAACAGGACCAAGCAAGUCCAGCAAUUGCUGUGGCAAUGAAAGAAA
Molecule: small RNA, 468 nt
Filed under: Histoplasma capsulatum var. duboisii H88
Lineage: Eukaryota; Fungi; Ascomycota; Eurotiomycetes; Onygenales; Ajellomycetaceae
Description: Histoplasma capsulatum H88 hypothetical RNA
Source: RNAcentral